RNAcentral lists this ribosomal RNA (440 nucleotides) under uncultured bacterium. Its description in RNAcentral is "partial 16S ribosomal RNA". It matches the Rfam family "Bacterial small subunit ribosomal RNA", at positions 338 to 795 of the family's 1533-position model. The record is from RNAcentral.
CCUACGGGAGGCAGCAGUGGGGAAUAUUGCACAAUGGGGGAAACCCUGAUGCAGCGACGCCGCGUGAGUGAAGAAGUAAUUAGUUAUGUAAAGCUUUAUCAGUAGGGAAGAAAAUGACGGUACCUGAGUAAGAAGCCCCGGCUAACAACGUGCCAGCAGCCGCGGCAAUACGUAGGGGGCCAGCGUUAUACGGAUUUACUGGGUGUUAAGGGAGCGUAGACGGCUGUGCAAGUCUGGAGUGAAAGGCGGGGGCUCAACCCCCGGACUGCUCUGGAAACUGUACGGCUGGAGUGCAGGAGAGGUAAGUGGAAUUCCUAGUGUAGCGGUGAAAUGCUUAGAUAUUAGGAGGAACACCAGUGGCGAAGGCGGCUUACUGGACUGUAACUGACGUUGAGGCUCGAAAGCGUGGGUAGCAAACAGGAUUAGAUACCCUAGUAGUC